This 71-nucleotide transfer RNA is filed under the name Epthianura albifrons (white-fronted chat). RNAcentral's name for it is "tRNA-Gln". The record is from RNAcentral. Lineage: Eukaryota; Metazoa; Chordata; Aves; Passeriformes; Meliphagidae.
CUAGAAAAACAGGAGUUGAACCUGUACAAAAGGGAUCAAAACCCUCCAUACUUCCUUUAUAUUAUUUUCUA